GACGAACGCUGGCGGCGUGCUUAACACAUGCAAGUCGAACGGAAAGGCCCUGCUUUUGUGGGGUGCUCGAGUGGCGAACGGGUGAGUAACACGUGAGUAACCUGCCCUUGACUUUGGGAUAACUUCAGGAAACUGGGGCUAAUACCGGAUAGGAGCUCCUGCUGCAUGGUGGGGGUUGGAAAGUUUCGGCGGUUGGGGAUGGACUCGCGGCUUAUCAGCUUGUUGGUGGGGUAGUGGCUUACUAAGGCUUUGACGGGUAGCCGGCCUGAGAGGGUGACCGGCCAGAUGGGGACUGAGAGACGGCCCAGACGACUACGGGAGGCAGCAGUGGGGAAUAUUGCACAAUGGGCGGAAGCCUGAUGCAGCAACGCCGCGUGCGGGAUGACGGCCUUCGGGUUGUAAACCGCUUUCGCCUGUGACGAAGCGUGAGUGACGGUAAUGGGUAAAGAAGCACCGGCUAACUACGUG
This 468-nucleotide ribosomal RNA is filed under the name uncultured bacterium. RNAcentral's name for it is "partial 16S ribosomal RNA". It matches the Rfam family "Bacterial small subunit ribosomal RNA", at positions 28 to 507 of the family's 1533-position model. The record is from RNAcentral.